This 138-nucleotide non-coding RNA is filed under the name Callithrix jacchus (white-tufted-ear marmoset). RNAcentral's name for it is "Eukaryotic large subunit ribosomal RNA". It matches the Rfam family "Eukaryotic large subunit ribosomal RNA", at positions 815 to 954 of the family's 3401-position model. Lineage: Eukaryota; Metazoa; Chordata; Mammalia; Primates; Cebidae. The record is from Rfam by way of RNAcentral.
CCAGGUAAGUAUAACUAUGCCUGGGUAGGGCAAAGCCAGAGGAAACUCUGGUGGAGGUCCAUAGAGGUCCUGACAUGCAAAUUGGUCGUCUGACCUGGGUAUAGGAGCAAAAGACUAAUCGAACCAUCUAGUAGCUGG